UAUAGGAGGUCCAGCCUGCCAGUGACUACAAGUUCAACGGCCGCGGUAUUUUGACCGUGCAAAGGUAGCGCAAUCACUUGUCUUUUAAAUAGAGACCUGUAUGAAUGGCUAAACGAGGGCUUAACUGUCUCCCCUUUCCAGUCAGUGAAAUUGAUCUGCCCGUGCAGAAGCGGACAUAAAAAUACAAGACGAGAAGACCCUUUGGAGCUUAAGGUACAAAACUCAACCACGUCAAGCGACUCAAUAAAAAGCAAAAACUUUGUGGAAUAUGAGAUUUUACCUUCGGUUGGGGCGACCACGGAGGAAAACAAAGCCUCCAAGUGGAUUGGGACAAACCUCCUAAAACCAAGAGAGACAUCUCUAAGCCACAGAACAUCUGACCAAACAUGAUCCGGCUGCCCGAAGCCGAUCAACGAACCAAGUUACCCUAGGGAUAACAGCGCAAUCCUCUCCCAGAGUCCAUAUCGACGAGAGGGUUUACGACCUCGAUGUUGGAUCAGGACAUCCUAAUGGUGCAGCCGCUAUUAAGGGUUCGUUUGUUCAACGAUUAAAGUCCUACGUGAUCUGAG
This 569-nucleotide ribosomal RNA is filed under the name Labeo rohita (rohu). RNAcentral's name for it is "partial 16S ribosomal RNA". It matches the Rfam family "Bacterial large subunit ribosomal RNA", at positions 1844 to 2609 of the family's 2925-position model. The record is from RNAcentral. Lineage: Eukaryota; Metazoa; Chordata; Actinopteri; Cypriniformes; Cyprinidae.